This 4720-nucleotide small RNA is filed under the name Pongo abelii (Sumatran orangutan). Its description in RNAcentral is "retained intron". The record is from RNAcentral. Lineage: Eukaryota; Metazoa; Chordata; Mammalia; Primates; Hominidae.
GAGAAGGCUGUGACUGCUGUGCUCUGGGCGCCAGCUCGCUCCAGGGAGUGAUGGGAAUCCUAUCAUUCUUACCUGUCCUUGCCACUGAGAGUGACUGGGCUGACUGCAAGUCCCCCCAGCCUUGGGGCCAUAUGCUUCUGUGGACAGCUGUGCUAUUCCUGGCUCCUGUUGCUGGGACACCUGCAGCUCCCCCAAAGGCUGUGCUGAAACUCGAACCCCAGUGGAUCAACGUGCUCCAGGAGGACUCUGUGACUCUGACAUGCCGGGGGGCUCACAGCCCUGAGAGCGACUCCACUCGGUGGUUCCACAAUGGGAAUCUCAUCCUCACCCACACGCAGCCCAGCUACAGGUUCAAGGCCAACAACAAUGACAGUGGGGAGUACACGUGCCAGACUGGCCAGACCAGCCUCAGCGACCCUGUGCAUCUGACUGUGCUUUCUGAGUGGCUGGUGCUCCAGACCCCUCACCUGGAGUUCCAAGAGGGAGAAACCAUCGUGCUGAGGUGCCACAGCUGGAAGGACAAGCCUCUGGUCAAGGUCACAUUCUUCCAGAAUGGAAAAUCCAAGAAAUUUUCCCGUUCGGAUCCCAACUUCUCCAUCCCACAAGCAAACCACAGUCACAGUGGUGAUUACCACUGCACAGGAAACAUAGGCUACACGCUGUACUCAUCCAAGCCUGUGACCAUCACUGUCCAAGCGCCCAGCUCUUCACCGAUGGGGAUCAUUGUGGCUGUGGUCACUGGGAUUGCUGUAGCGGCCAUUGUUGCUGCUGUAGUGGCCAUGAUCUACUGCAGGAAAAAGCGGAUUUCAGGUUUGUAGCUCCUCCCAGUCCCUUUUGUUAUAAGUUUCCACUUGGCCCAGGCCCUAACCCCAGACAUUGCCAGAAUCCCUCUCUUUGGGCUAGAUAGACAUUCAAAUCUAGGCCCGUAUUGUAUUAUAUUCAUUCGUUCAUUUAUUAGAUCAUUCAUUUGACAAGACUUGAACAAACUAGCUUAUGUGUCAGCCAAUGCGUGAGACAUGGUGGGUGAUGCCAAGAUGAAGUCCAGUCCCUGCCCUUGGGGAGUUCUCAGCAUUGUGAGGAAGACAGGGUCAUUAUAAUAAGAUGGGAUAAGAGCAAUGAUAAGGACAGGAAAAGCUUAGGAUAGAAGUACAGAGGAGGCUCCAUAGCCCAACAAGGGCUGAGGCAGUUGGAGAAGGUCUCAGGGAGAGCAGUGUAGUGUAGUGAUGGAGUGCACAUAGUGGGGCCGGACUGCCUGGGUUCAAAUCUAGUUCUACAGCAUACCAACUAUAUGACCCAAGUGAGUCACUCCACCUCUCUCUGCCUCAGCUGUCUCAUGUGGAAAAUGGGGACACUAAUAGGACUUACCUCACAGGGUUGCCAUGGGGAUGAAAGAGGCUGACACUCUUACACCAGUGCCUGGUAGGCAGUUACAGCACACAAACAGGGCUGUUGCCAUUCUGGAGGAGGUGGUGUGUGAGGGCAGCGCUUAGCUAGGGAAGGAGGACUCCCCAGGCACUGGGUCAAGGCAGGGAUUGAAGCUGGGUGGGGCUCAUAUGGGUGUCGAAGGGGGAGUAGAGAGGAUACUGCAAGCCUCUGAGAAAGAGAAAUAAUCCCACUAACACCUCACAAAGCACUUUGCAAUUGGUUCAUAGCCAGGACCUCAGUUACUGAUGAUAAGUAAAUACAGAGAAACAGAGAGAGAGAGAGACUGAGACACAGGGGUGUUUUUAAAAGGCAGAGCAAGCCUCAGACAGAUGCCAUGGAGUGGCCUUUCUGACACUUCUGGGCAUCCCCAUGGGUGAGCUGAAUUCUGCCUCUGGACUAGCCCUUUUCCAGGCGGGAGCAGCCCCUGAGCAGGGGAACUGGGGGUGGGAGGACAGGAAACGUCUGCCAGAGGGAAGGCCUGAGCUGGUCCCAUCCAAUCCUGGCCCUGGUCCUUGGUCCUGAGUUCUCAGGCCCCACCGCCUAAUCCUACUAACCUCCUGUGUGCCCCUCCCAGCUCUCCCAGGAAACCCUGAGUGCAGGGAAAUGGGAGAGACCCUCCCUGAGAAACCAGGUGAGUAAAGGGUUGUCUCAGGGAUUCAGUGAUGGCUCACCAGGGCUGCCGGCUGGACCGGAGCCAGCGAGAAGGGGCUUGUGCGAGUUCAGCUGGGAGCCAGGGAGGGAGCAGCGAUGGGGGGAUGGCCGGGGCUCAAAUCGCUUGGUCAGCUCUGAGUCUAACUCCUGGGCCUAAAGAUGACCUCUCUGGAGAUGAGAAGAGAAACACCAGUCCCAGAUAUAGAGGAGAGGGCUGUGUCUGAAUUUCUGGUACCAGGAAUCUGGUGAUACUUCCAGAGCAGGAAAUCAGAGAUACUUUGGUCUUUCUGUGGAGCUUUGGCAGAGCUGGCAAAGGAUAGGGCUAGCGGCUGUAAGACUGAGGCCAAUCAGAUAUGGGAGGCAGGAGUCUAAGGGAAAAGGAGGAGGAGGCCUGGAAACCCCUCGAUUUGCUGAGGAAUCUGCCUCUGUGGAGGGAUGGGGUGGAGUGGCCAGGCUCAGCUGUCUGUGGAACACUAAGAGGAGGUUUGGGCUUGAGAAAAUUCUGGGGGACUAGGGGCACUAGUGGGCUCUACUCUGUGGGCAAAGCUCAGUUCUGAUGCCCACGCACUCAAGGUUGACUGAAUUUUAGCCUGGUUCUGCCCCCAUCACACAGUGGAGCCUUGAGCAAGUCAGUCUCCCUGAUGGGGUUCAGUCUCCUCACUGAGGAAAUGAGUGGGUGGCCGGGGUGAUCUCUCAGGCCUUCUAGAUUUGACAUUCCGAGAGCCAAGGGUCACCCAAGCCCUGGCCCAGGUGGGAGUGUGUAAAGGAACUUCCAGGAGGAUGCCAGGCAACUUCCAGACUGUAGUUAAAGUCAGAGCACAAAGGAAACCAGGGCUUUCUCCGGGGGUUUCCAUGACAGUAAGAACAGGCAGAAAAAAGAGGCUGUCAAAGACCCCAACUCAGAAGGCUGGAGUAUGAUUCAGAGCAGAGCCAACAGAUUUAAGAGCUUGAGCAAAAUAUCACUUGUUCAGCUGUGCUUGCAGCAAGGUCACGUGUCCGCUGGCCAGGCCCAGUGGGGAAUAGGGGCCUGUGUUCACACCAGGGCCAAAGCAGAUCUGGAAAAAACAAAGUCCAAGCAACUGGAUUAUCCGUCUUGUUGUGUGGUUCUGUCUACACUGGCAUAAGCACAUUUCACAAGGCACUUUUGCAGCCAGGCAUUGGGGCUGCAUAAAUGGUUUUUAAAAAAUCCUUUCCCAAAAGGCAGAGCUGGGUUGCUGGGAUUCCUGGGGAAUGUAUUAGAAUGGGAAUUCAGAAUGUGGCUUACUGCAGAAUUUACAUCAUGGCAAUAAAGGCUCUCUGUGUUCAGGGGGUGAGAGAAGAGACUAGAUGCAUUGUCUCAGAUGUCUCCUGACUUCCUGAGAAAUGCCACUUUGCAGAUACUGGGGCUGCUUUUCACACUGCAGAUACUGGGGCUGCUUUUCACACUGGCUAAGUCAGUUCAUGGCAAAAUAUGAGGGAAUUCAGUGUGUUUCAGACACUAACCAGACAAAGUCCAUCCUUCCUUUCUCCUUCCCUCCCUCCCUUCCUCCCUUUCUCACUCACUCUCUCUUCCCUUUUAAUGCCAUGGAGUACCAUAUUUUUCAAAGUUCCAACAAAGAUGCACUACAUUUAGACAAUGUGGAAAUGGCCCUCAGCCUUCUCUCCCAGAAGUCUGUGGCCAGCAAAAAUCUGGACUUUACUUCACUCUGAUGCUGAACACCCCCCUCCCCCACCUCUUCCCCAAUAUCUCAGAUCCCAAGCCUCCCUGGUUUGCUUCUAGGAAAGCUCAGCAAUUCCUUGAAAAGAAUGUAGCUCAAGUGACUGCUCCACUUUUUCACCUUGGCCUGUGGGGAAGGCUGUGGCUGGGCUACCCUGUGCAUGGAUCAAUGAGGUCAUAUUUACCCAGUGCUUGGCCUAGAGGCCCAAGACAGGGUCAGCAGUGCUUGCUUUGGCUCUAGUUUGAGCGUUGGUUUUGCAGCCUCAGCAUCAGCACAGGCAGGCCCUCGUCACCAGCAGUGCUCUGGCUGAUAUUUCUUCUUUUUCCCACAGCCAAUCCCACUAAUCCUGACGAGGCUGACAAAGUUGGGGCUGAGAACACAAUCACCUAUUCACUUCUCAUGCACCCGGAUGCUCUGGAAGAGCCUGAUGACCAGAACCGUAUUUAGUCUCCAUUGUCUUGCAUUGGGAUUUGAGAAGAAAAUCAGAGAGGGAAGAUCUGGUAUUUCCUGGCCUAAAUUCCCCUUGGGGAGGACAGGGAGAUGCUGCAGUUCCAAAAGAGAAGGUUUCUUCCAGAGUCAUCUACCUGAGUCCUGAAGCUCCCUGUCCUGAAAGCCACAGACAAUAUGGUCCCAAAUGACCGACUGCACCUUCCGUGCUUCAGCUCUUCUUGACAUCAAGACUCUUCCGUUCCACAUCCACACAGCCAAUCCAAUCAAUCAAACCACUGUUAUUAAUAGAUCAUAGCAACUUGGGAAAUGCUUAUGUUACAGGUUACAUGAGAACAAUCAUGUAAAUCUAUAUGAUUUCAGAAAUGUUAAAAUAGACUAACCUCUACCAGCACAUUAAAAGUGAUUGUUUCUGGGUGAUAAAAUUAUUGAUGAUUUUUAUUUUCUUUAUUUUUCUAUAAAGAUCAUAUAUUACUUUUAUAAUAAAACAUUAUAAAAAC